CGGAUAUGAAAAGUCGGGGUGAGGUGCAGUUUUGAGUUAAUCUCACUGGCCACUGCACUUAGAUUUAAGCAAAAGUCCAGCUUGAAUUGAGCUCGCUGGCGGGAUUCGAAUUAAGAGAGCUGUAUACGGGAUCAACUCCCAUAUUUAUAUAUUGAUGUGAUACAUUGGGUGUAUGAGUAGCUUUAACUUAUCUUAUCGUGCAAAUAUUAGGUGAAU
RNAcentral lists this unclassified non-coding RNA (216 nucleotides) under Hevea brasiliensis (rubber tree). Lineage: Eukaryota; Viridiplantae; Streptophyta; Magnoliopsida; Malpighiales; Euphorbiaceae. The record is from RNAcentral.